Molecule: ribosomal RNA, 253 nt
Filed under: uncultured bacterium
Lineage: Bacteria
Description: partial 16S ribosomal RNA
Rfam family: Bacterial small subunit ribosomal RNA
Source: RNAcentral
GACAGAGGGUGCAAACGUUGUUCGGAAUCACUGGGCGUAAAGGGUGCGUAGGCGGGUCUUUAAGUCAGGGGUGAAAUCCUGGAGCUCAACUCCAGAACUGCCUUUGAUACUGGCGAUCUUGAGUCCGGGAGAGGUGAGUGGAACUGCGAGUGUAGAGGUGAAAUUCGUAGAUAUUCGCAAGAACACCAGUGGCGAAGGCGGCUCACUGGCCCGGUACUGACGCUGAGGUGCGAAAGCGUGGGGAGCGAACAGG